Long non-coding RNA from Pan troglodytes (chimpanzee), 549 nucleotides. RefSeq lists it as uncharacterized. The record is from RefSeq and is a predicted model, not a curated record. The transcript has 3 exons. Lineage: Eukaryota; Metazoa; Chordata; Mammalia; Primates; Hominidae.
CAGGUUUUCAUUUGACCCAGAGUAAGUUCAGGAAAAUUAAGUGCAAUUUCCAUGCCAAAUAUAAGAAAAAAGAAAGAGAAAUCCAAAGUACUCCUAAAGAAACAGAAGAAAACAAGAAUUGACUGAGUACAGUGGCAUUCAGCAUGGAAGGCCAAAAGAUCCUGGGCAAAUUUGCAAAGAAGGUCAAAUGCUUCUGGAAACCUCCUCAUCUUCCCUGCCCUCUUCUCUCACCUCUGCCCCUGGCUUCAGGAAAUUCAGGUGGCCCUUAGAGGCUCUGAUUCAGCUGGGAAUUAGAAUCAAAAGGCUUCCUCGGUGAUUCUGGAAUUUGUCACCAGAAAAAGAAGAAAGUUCAUUGACCAAAGGUAGUCACUGCACACCUGCAACCUGAAACGUCAUGGAAGCUCUUGUACUCCAGCCACCAGGCUGUGGGGCUCGCCCUGAGAGGCCUGGGCCACCAGCUACAACUAUUCCCUUUCUGCCCUGAGCUGUCAGGAUUUCUGCCAAUGAUUCCACUUGUAUGAGCUAUCUAUAAUAAACUCACAGAAGCAU